UAAUAGCGUAUAUUAAAGUUGUUGCAGUUAAAAAGCUCGUAGUCGGAUGUCGGGCUCGGGCAGGCUGUCGGCUUCGGUCGGACGGCAGGCUCGGGUCUUUCUGCCUGAGGAUCCAUCUCAUUCACUUGGGGUGGGGACGCAGGCCGUUUACUUUGAAAAAAUUAGAGUGUUCAAAGCAGGCCUACGCUUGAAUACAUUAGCAUGGAAUAAUGGAAUAGGACUUUGGUGCUAUUUUGUUGGUUUAUGGGACCGAAGUAAUGAUUAACAGGGACAGUUGGGGCCGUUUAUAUUUCGUUGUCAGAGGUGAAAUUCUUGGAUUUACGAAAGAUAAACUUCUGCGAANGNAUUCGCNAAGGAUGUUUNCAUUG
Molecule: ribosomal RNA, 368 nt
Filed under: uncultured eukaryote
Lineage: Eukaryota
Description: partial 18S ribosomal RNA
Rfam family: Eukaryotic small subunit ribosomal RNA
Source: RNAcentral